RNAcentral lists this ribosomal RNA (122 nucleotides) under Microcebus murinus (gray mouse lemur). The record is from RNAcentral. Lineage: Eukaryota; Metazoa; Chordata; Mammalia; Primates; Cheirogaleidae.
GUCUAUGGCCAUACCACCCUGAAUGCGCCCAAUCUUGUCUGAUCUCGGAAGCUAAGCAGGGUCGGGCCUGGUUAGUACUUGGAUGGGAGAGUCUCACAUCUUUAAAGAAAAAGCUGUAAAUG